This 180-nucleotide unclassified non-coding RNA is filed under the name uncultured fungus. Its description in RNAcentral is "sequence contains ITS1". Lineage: Eukaryota; Fungi. The record is from RNAcentral.
GUCAUAAUUUCAUAUAUAAACAUUCUAAGAUUUUAAAAGUGUGUGUAAGGACCCGACUAUAUGCGGGUCAAAGGUGCACAGGUGUAAAUGUAUCGGACAAGGCGUGCAGCCGAAGCGCACAGCAAAGUCCUUUACGUUUGGAAUUCAAUAAUGAUCCUUCCGCAGGUUCACCUACGGAAA